GAUGAACGCUAGCUACAGGCUUAACACAUGCAAGUCGAGGGGAAACGAUAUUGGAAGCUUGCUUCCGAUAGGCGUCGACCGGCGGACGGGUGAGUAACGCGUGAGCAAUCUGCCUUUAAGAGGGGGAUAACAGUCGGAAACGGCUGCUAAUACCGCAUAAAACAUUGAAUUCGCAUGUUUUCGAUGCCAAAGGAGCAAUCCGCUUUUAGAUGAGCUCGCGUCUGAUUAGCUAGUUGGCGGGGUAACGGCCCACCAAGGCGACGAUCAGUAGCCGGACUGAGAGGUUGGACGGCCACAUUGGGACUGAGACACGGCCCAGACUCCUACGGGAGGCAGCAGUGGGGAAUAUUGCACAAUGGGGGAAACCCUGAUGCAGCGACGCCGCGUGAAGGAAGAAGUAUUUCGGUAUGUAAACUUCUAUCAGCAAGGAAGAAAAUGACGGUACUUGACUAAGAAGCCCCGGCUAAAUACGUG
RNAcentral lists this ribosomal RNA (474 nucleotides) under uncultured bacterium. RNAcentral describes it as "bacterial SSU rRNA". It matches the Rfam family "Bacterial small subunit ribosomal RNA", at positions 28 to 507 of the family's 1533-position model. The record is from RNAcentral.